RNAcentral lists this ribosomal RNA (301 nucleotides) under uncultured bacterium. RNAcentral's name for it is "partial 16S ribosomal RNA". It matches the Rfam family "Bacterial small subunit ribosomal RNA", at positions 509 to 809 of the family's 1533-position model. The record is from RNAcentral.
CAGUCGCCGCGGUAAUACGUAGGUGGCAAGCGUUGUCCGGAAUUAUUGGGCGUAAAGCGCGCGCAGGUGGUUCCUUAAGUCUGAUGUGAAAGCCCCCGGCUCAACCGGGGAGGGUCAUUGGAAACUGGGGAACUUGAGUGCAGAAGAGGAUAGUGGAAUUCCAAGUGUAGCGGUGAAAUGCGUAGAGAUUUGGAGGAACACCAGUGGCGAAGGCGACUGUCUGGUCUGUAACUGACACUGAGGCGCGAAAGCGUGGGGAGCAAACAGGAUUAGAUACCCCUGUAGUCCCUGUCUCUUAUAA